Long non-coding RNA from Aptenodytes forsteri (emperor penguin), 997 nucleotides. RefSeq lists it as uncharacterized. The record is from RefSeq and is a predicted model, not a curated record. NCBI's taxonomy places the organism in Eukaryota, Metazoa, Chordata, Aves, Sphenisciformes, Spheniscidae. The transcript is spliced from 4 exons.
ACGUGCUGAAAGAGUUUGGUCUGGUUCAUUAGAGCCAGAUGUAAAAAUGCUGCCUCCAGCUAGCUCCAGCCCCUGCAAACUGCCUUUGCGAGCACCUUUCCUCCCUGCCGCCUGUCUCCUAUGAGCCCUCUGAUCUCUGCCCGGCUGGAGGCCUGAAGAACACUUACCCAUUUGUAACAGAAACUAUUCACGACGCACGGGCCUGAAAGGUCACUGUCAGUUACUAUUGCUUUUCUGGUGUCACUGGUAUAGAUCACGUCUUCUAGCAAACUUUAAGGAAGAAAGCUUUUGUUACAAGGAGAGACGAUUAUACGCAAAUUGCAAGAUUCUUCAAGUGUAAAGUCGUAUGCCAGGAGUAUGAUAUUAGCGUUUCUUUUAAGUAGAAUAACUUUGGAAUAAGUACCUUGUCCGGUGAAUUGCCUUCCUUGUCAUUCAUCACUGCAUAUCAUCUUUGUAGAACUGCAGUAACUGGAAGGAAGGAAAAUACUGGUUCAAUUCUCUUCUUGAUGAGACCCCUGCACCUUCACCCAGAUUCCUCCCCGGGCAGCCAUGGAUCUGACCACCGAGGGAAUCUGGCCCACUGAAUUCCUUUUCUUUCUGUGCAGUUGAAUGAAAAGUGUGUGUCUUUUGAAGAACAGUGACUGAAAGAAAUAUUGAUGACUGCCAGGAUAUCUAGAGAAAAGGAUAAGAAAAUUACUCUACUACAACAGGGAAGACAAAGGAGCUUUGUUAACUCUUUCUUGUAGGUUGUAUAUAUUAAUAGUAACAACUAAAGUUUUGUAUUUUUUCAGAGAAACACACAAGGCUUUGAAUUGUAUUGUUUUAAUUGCAGCUAACUGAAUGAAUUAAGUGGAAAAUCGCACACAGUACUUUGAUUGUCUAACUCUCUAUAUGUGAAGCUUUGGGAACAGUUUGUUAUUAUAAAAGAACAGCACUAACAAGAACUCAGCCAACAUGUAAUUGCUAGGCUGAGGGGCAGUUUGGGGAAAGCUGUUGU